Molecule: ribosomal RNA, 385 nt
Filed under: Achnanthes inflata
Lineage: Eukaryota; Bacillariophyta; Bacillariophyceae; Mastogloiales; Achnanthaceae
Description: SSU rRNA
Rfam family: Eukaryotic small subunit ribosomal RNA
Source: RNAcentral
AUUCCAGCUCCAAUAGCGUAUAUUAAAGUUGUUGCAGUUAAAAAGCUCGUAGUUGGAUUUGUGGCGGUGUGGGCGGCCUAGCACUUAGUGCCAGCGCUCUGCCUGCGCCGCCAUCUUUGGGUGGAACCUGUGUGGCAUUAGGUUGUCGUGCAGGGGAUGCCCAUCUUUUACUGUGAAAAAAUUAGAGUGUUCAAAGCAGGCUUAUGCCGUUGAAUAUAUUAGCAUGGAAUAAUGAGAUAGGACCUUGGUACUAUUUUGUUGGUUUGCGCACCAAGGUAAUGAUUAAUAGGGACAGUUGGGGGUAUUUGUAUUCCAUUGUCAGAGGUGAAAUUCUUGGAUUUUUGGAAGACAAACUACUGCGAAAGCAUUUACCAAGGAUGUUUUC